CAAGCAGAAUCCUGAAAUGACUGCAGAUAGAAGGGACACAAAUCCUGUCAUACAGGUGAGGAACUUGGUGCUCAAAGUCUUUAGCUGUAGUCUGUUGCACAAAUAUUGGACAUGUGCAAUGAUUACACAUGUACGUAUCUCCCCAUGUGAAAUAUCUGACACCAUCCAAGCCUAAAUAACCUUAGGAGCUCUUGCACCUGAAAUCAGAGUUGUAUGUCACCAUUGUGUCCUAUUGUCUCUUCACCUCUGCAUCAUUCAUGAUGUAAUCUGUUCUCUUUCCCGAUCAGAACGACAUAGGUCCUGUGAACAGCACUGUCACAGCAAGGGCCACGACCUCUGACCCCGCACAGAGAGUGCCCACACCUGAUCAAAACGAUAUUCAUAAACGUGAAGGAGCUGAGAGAAACAGCAGAGGAAACCAAAGGGCUGUCCAUUCUGAUGCCCAUGAUGAGACAUACACAGCUCUCAACCCCAGGAGCACAUCCUCUGAGUAUGACACUCUGCAGAAUGUGAGGAAUGUGAGUGACACCUACAUGCCUCUCCAGAGAAGAGCUCAGGCCUCAGUGUAUGAGACUCUGCAGAGAAGAGAGUUGCCCCAGUCAGAGAUGGAGCUGAAGGAUCUCGGGAUGAGAUGCCAACACCAACCAUGACUUCUGGACUGUCCAUCUCAUACUUACUGCUGUCACAGUCUUACGUUGUUAAAAGAUUUUAUUAUCAGUGCUAACUUUUCCCUUGUUUCCCAUGCUAGGGACAUUUAAUAUUUCUCCGUUGGUGUAGGUUUCUUUGACUCUCGUCAUCAUUUAGCACCAGUAAACCGCUAAUCUAAUCACCUAUUGCUUUGGAUCAUGUAUGCAU
Clupea harengus (Atlantic herring) is the source of this 855-nucleotide long non-coding RNA. The record is from Ensembl. NCBI's taxonomy places the organism in Eukaryota, Metazoa, Chordata, Actinopteri, Clupeiformes, Clupeidae.